RNAcentral lists this ribosomal RNA (1184 nucleotides) under Staphylococcus condimenti. RNAcentral's name for it is "bacterial SSU rRNA". It matches the Rfam family "Bacterial small subunit ribosomal RNA", at positions 287 to 1461 of the family's 1533-position model. Lineage: Bacteria; Bacillati; Bacillota; Bacilli; Caryophanales; Staphylococcaceae. The record is from RNAcentral.
CCGACCUGAGAGGGUGAUCGGCCACACUGGAACUGAGACACGGUCCAGAUUCCUACGGGAGGCAGCAGUAGGGAAUCUUCCGCAAUGGGCGAAAGCCUGACGGAGCAACGCCGCGUGAGUGAUGAAGGUCUUCGGAUCGUAAAACUCUGUUAUUAGGGAAGAACAAGUGCGUAGGUAACUAUGCGCACCUUGACGGUACCUAAUCAGAAAGCCACGGCUAACUACGUGCCAGCAGCCGCGGUAAUACGUAGGUGGCAAGCGUUAUCCGGAAUUAUUGGGCGUAAAGCGCGCGUAGGCGGUUUUUUAAGUCUGAUGUGAAAGCCCACGGCUCAACCGUGGAGGGUCAUUGGAAACUGGAAAACUUGAGUGCAGAAGAGGAAAGUGGAAUUCCAUGUGUAGCGGUGAAAUGCGCAGAGAUAUGGAGGAACACCAGUGGCGAAGGCGACUUUCUGGUCUGCAACUGACGCUGAUGUGCGAAAGCGUGGGGAUCAAACAGGAUUAGAUACCCUGGUAGUCCACGCCGUAAACGAUGAGUGCUAAGUGUUAGGGGGUUUCCGCCCCUUAGUGCUGCAGCUAACGCAUUAAGCACUCCGCCUGGGGAGUACGGCCGCAAGGCUGAAACUCAAAGGAAUUGACGGGGACCCGCACAAGCGGUGGAGCAUGUGGUUUAAUUCGAAGCAACGCGAAGAACCUUACCAAAUCUUGACAUCCUUUGACCGCUCUAGAGAUAGAGUCUUCCCCUUCGGGGGACAAAGUGACAGGUGGUGCAUGGUUGUCGUCAGCUCGUGUCGUGAGAUGUUGGGUUAAGUCCCGCAACGAGCGCAACCCUUAAGCUUAGUUGCCAGCAUUAAGUUGGGCACUCUAAGUUGACUGCCGGUGACAAACCGGAGGAAGGUGGGGAUGACGUCAAAUCAUCAUGCCCCUUAUGAUUUGGGCUACACACGUGCUACAAUGGACAGUACAAAGGGCAGCGAAACCGCGAGGUCAAGCAAAUCCCAUAAAGCUGUUCUCAGUUCGGAUUGUAGUCUGCAACUCGACUACAUGAAGCUGGAAUCGCUAGUAAUCGUAGAUCAGCAUGCUACGGUGAAUACGUUCCCGGGUCUUGUACACACCGCCCGUCACACCACGAGAGUUCGUAACACCCGAAGCCGGUGGAGUAACCUUUUAGGAGCUAGCCGUCGAAG